ACCCCUGUAGCUCAAACGGUAAAGAAUCUGCCUGCCAUGCAGGAGACCAGGGUUCAAUUCCUGGCUUGGGAA
Molecule: transfer RNA, 72 nt
Filed under: Capra hircus (goat)
Lineage: Eukaryota; Metazoa; Chordata; Mammalia; Artiodactyla; Bovidae
Also listed under: 1 other name
Rfam family: tRNA
About the family: Transfer RNA (tRNA) molecules are approximately 80 nucleotides in length. Their secondary structure includes four short double-helical elements and three loops (D, anti-codon, and T loops). Further hydrogen bonds mediate the characteristic L-shaped molecular structure. tRNAs have two regions of fundamental functional importance: the anti-codon, which is responsible for specific mRNA codon recognition, and the 3' end, to which the tRNAs corresponding amino acid is attached (by aminoacyl-tRNA synthetases). tRNAs cope with the degeneracy of the genetic code in two manners: having more than one tRNA (with a specific anti-codon) for a particular amino acid; and 'wobble' base-pairing, i.e. permitting non-standard base-pairing at the 3rd anti-codon position.
Source: Rfam by way of RNAcentral